Molecule: long non-coding RNA, 367 nt
Filed under: Heterocephalus glaber (naked mole-rat)
Lineage: Eukaryota; Metazoa; Chordata; Mammalia; Rodentia; Bathyergidae
Description: lncRNA (ENSHGLG00000034247.1)
Source: RNAcentral
UUCUUUGAAAAAUGAAUUUUUUUUGUUGUUGUCUGCAAUAAGAAGCCUGAAAAAAUAUCAUUCAACUGUGAUGUUUCUGGUGAUAUGCUGUGUGCUGAAGAGAGAGAUGAGGACGUGACUCUGCUGUCUUCAGUCACAUACAAGGGGUGACCUGAUGGACAGUAUAACCUUAGAGGAACAGGCAAGAAAAUGCCUCCGUUUACUAGAGUGACUAUCUAUGUCUCUGAAGCUGACUCUCAGAUCACCCACAUUUCUUCUUGUCUCUUCCAAUGGAAAACAAAAGAGAGCAGCCCUUGGUGUGUCUGUCCAGCAGAAGUGCCUGGUGCACAAAAGGACUGCAUCCUGUUGGAUUAACUGCAUUUUAAAC